RNAcentral lists this ribosomal RNA (543 nucleotides) under Cerinomyces canadensis. Its description in RNAcentral is "eukaryotic LSU rRNA". It matches the Rfam family "Eukaryotic large subunit ribosomal RNA", at positions 63 to 650 of the family's 3401-position model. The record is from RNAcentral. Lineage: Eukaryota; Fungi; Basidiomycota; Dacrymycetes; Dacrymycetales; Cerinomycetaceae.
AACUAACAAGGAUUCCCCUAGUAACUGCGAGUGAAGCGGGAAGAGCUCAAAUUUGUAAUCUGCCUUUUGGCCGAGUUGUAAUCUGGAGAAGCGUUAUCAGGCGCCGACCGCAUUAAAGUCUCUUGGAACAGGGCGUCACAGAGGGUGAGAAUCCCGUGAGUAAUGCGGCUGCGGCGUUGUAGAGGCGCUCUCGAGAGUCGAGUUGUUUGGGAAUGCAGCUCAAAUGGGUGGUAAACUCCAUCUAAAGCUAAAUAUUGGCGAGAGACCGAUAGCGAACAAGUACCGUGAGGGAAAGAUGAAAAGGACUUUGGAAAGAGAGUUAAAGAGUACGUGAAAUUGCUGAAAGGGAAGCGCUUGAAGUGAGUCGCGCGGGCAGGAUUCAGCUUUGCGUAUUUCCUGCCUGUGGGCCAGCAUCGACGGUGGGCGGCGGACAAGGGCGGUGGGAAUGUGGCACCUUCGGGUGUGUUAUAGCCUGCUGUCGUACACGCUGCCUUACGUCGAGGACUGCUUAUAGGAUGCUGGCGUAAUGGCUUUAAGCGACCC